Molecule: ribosomal RNA, 1107 nt
Filed under: uncultured bacterium
Lineage: Bacteria
Description: partial 16S ribosomal RNA
Rfam family: Bacterial small subunit ribosomal RNA
Source: RNAcentral
AGAGUUUGAUCCUGGCUCAGAAUGAACGCUGGCGGCGUGCUUAACACAUGCAAGUCGAACGGGAACACCUCUUCGGAGGUUAGUAUAGUGGCGAACGGGUGAGCAAUGGAUGGGUAAUCUGCCCUUGAGUUGGGGAUAACUUUGCGAAAGCGGAGCUAAUACCGAAUAAUGCCCUCACUGCUACGGCAGAGAGGGUUAAAGAUGGCCUCUGUAUAUGCUGUUGCUUGAGGAUGAGCCCAUCUCCCAUUAGCUUGUUGGUGAGGUAAUGGCUCACCAAGGCGAUGAUGGGUAGCCGGCCUGAGAGGGUGUCCGGCCACACUGGAACUGAGACACGGUCCAGACUCCUACGGGAGGCAGCAGUGGGGAAUAUUUCGCAAUGGGCGAAAGCCUGACGAAGCAACGCCGCGUGGGUGAUGAAGGCCUUCGGGUUGUAAAGCCCUGUCGGAGGGGAAGAAAUCCUGAGCUUUAAUAGAGUUCAGGUUUGACGGUACCCUCCAAGGAAGCCCCGGCUAACUCCGUGCCAGCAGCCGCGGUAAUACGGAGGGGGCAAGCGUUAUUCGGAAUCACUGGGCGUAAAGGGCGUCUAGGUGGUCGCUUAAGUUCAAGGUGAAAGCCCUCGGCUUAACUGAGGAAGUGCUUUGAAAACUGGGCGACUUGAGUUCGGGAGAGGGGAGCGGAAUUCCCAGUGUAGCGGUGAAAUGCGUAGAUAUUGGGAGGAACACCGGUGGCGUAAGCGGCUCCCUGGACCGAUACUGACACUGAAGCGCGAAAGCUAGGGGAGCAAACGGGAUUAGAUACCCCGGUAGUCCUAGCUGUAAACGAUGGGCACUUGGUGUAGGANGUGUUGUUACCUUCUGUGCCNAAGUUAACGCANUAAGUGCCCCGCCUGGGGAGUNCGGUCGCAAGGCUGAAACUCNAAGGAAUUGACNGGGGCCCGCACNAGCGGUGGANCAUGUNNNUAAUUCGAGGCAACGCGAANAACCNUACCAGGGCUUGACAUGAAAGGAUAGGAUGANANAUCNUCUCUNNUUUCNAANACCUUUUNNCNGNGCUGCNUGGCUGUCGUCNNNUCGUGNCGUGNGANNUUGGGNUAAGUCCCNNNNCGAG